GACGAACGCUGGCGGCGUGCUUAACACAUGCAAGUCGAACGGAAAGGCCCUGCUUUUGUGGGGUGCUCGAGUGGCGAACGGGUGAGUAACACGUGAGUAACCUGCCCUUGACUUUGGGAUAACUUCAGUAAACUGGGGCUAAUACCGGAUAGGAGCUACUGCUGCAUGGUGGGGGUUGGAAAGUUUCGGCGGUUGGGGAUGGACUCGCGGCUUAUCAGCUUGUUGGUGGGGUAGUGGCUUACCAAGGCUUUGACGGGUAGCCGGCCUGAGAGGGUGACCGGCCACAUUGGGACUGAGAUACGGCCCAGACUCCUACGGGGGGCAGCAGUGGGGAAUAUUGCACAAUGGGCGGAAGCCUGAUGCAGCAACGCCGCGUGCGGGAUGACGGCCUUCGGGUUGUAAACCGCUUUCGCCUGUGACGAAGCGUGAGUGACGGUAAUGGGUAAAGAAGCACCGGCUAACUACGUG
Molecule: ribosomal RNA, 468 nt
Filed under: uncultured bacterium
Lineage: Bacteria
Description: partial 16S ribosomal RNA
Rfam family: Bacterial small subunit ribosomal RNA
Source: RNAcentral